CCAAGGUUAUAGUCACAGACACACCCAUAUCUACAGUUAUCACCUAGUGGUACAAUAUUAACCCACCAAGUAGAUUAAUCCACUGAUGGGGUUAUAGCUCUCAUAAUCCAAUAUUUUCACUUCUGAAUGCUGCUGCAUUGCCUAACACAUGAGCUUUGGGGGGAACAUUCCUAGAUGGAGGAGGGUGUGCCUGAGCAACUGCUUGCUAAAGACAUCAGCAUUGAUGUUAACCAUCAAGGCAAUAGUAAAUAGACCUCAAACACCUCAAAAACUUUUGGGCUGAGGACCCAAGAUAGCAGGACAGAGGGAGGCAGCAUUCUGAGUCGCUCCAUGACCUGGGACUCAAGUACUGCUUCUCUGCGAGCAAUAUUCCUGCUCCUGUGUAGGAAUCACGGCCACUGUGCCCACCCAGGGCUCCAGGCCUCAGAGUGGGUCUCCAAACUACUGGCCCACACAGGACUAUUGGGUACCCAAGAGGGCACCAUCAAUACCCAUGCAGAACUUCCAGCCACCCACCCAAGCAGAAAUCAUCAAUAUCACUCCCAUAGAGGACACCUGGCAGCUUCCCACAUACAGGAACUCCUACCACCACUCCCAUGUGGACCCCCAUCUACCAACAUGGGUAAUCCCCUGGCUGCCACCAUCUUGGGAUGCUAGAGCAGCAGAGAUAGUCCCCUUCGAGUGGUAGCCUACCUGCACCCAAGAACAUCACACAGGCUUUGAAGUCAGCCAACAGACACACACUGCAUAAGCUCAUCUCUGAACUCAUCCUCCAAUGCCAUCACUCAGCUCCCC
This 795-nucleotide long non-coding RNA is filed under the name Marmota monax (woodchuck). Lineage: Eukaryota; Metazoa; Chordata; Mammalia; Rodentia; Sciuridae. The record is from RNAcentral.